This 249-nucleotide ribosomal RNA is filed under the name uncultured Helotiales. RNAcentral's name for it is "partial 28S ribosomal RNA". It matches the Rfam family "Eukaryotic large subunit ribosomal RNA", at positions 1 to 249 of the family's 3401-position model. The record is from RNAcentral. Lineage: Eukaryota; Fungi; Ascomycota; Leotiomycetes; Helotiales.
UUGACCUCGGAUCAGGUAGGGAUACCCGCUGAACUUAAGCAUAUCAAUAAGCGGAGGAAAAGAAACCAACAGGGAUUGCCUCAGUAACGGCGAGUGAAGCGGCAACAGCUCAAAUUUGAAAUCUGGCUCUUUCAGGGUCCGAGUUGUAAUUUGUAGAAAUGCUUUGGGUGUGGCUCCGGUCUAAGUUCCUGGAACAGGACGUCAUAGAGGUGAGAAUCCCGUAUGUGACUGGCUGCCUCCCCUAUUUAA